CCUACGGGAGGCAGCAGUGGGGAAUUUUGGACAAUGGGCGAAAGCCUGAUCCAGCAAUGCCGCGUGAGUGAAGAAGGCCUUCGGGUUGUAAAGCUCUUUUGUCAGGGAAGAAACGGUGAGAGCUAAUAUCUUUUGCUAAUGACGGUACCUGAAGAAUAAGCACCGGCUAACUACGUGCCAGCAGCCGCGGUAAUACGUAGGGUGCAAGCGUUAAUCGGAAUUACUGGGCGUAAAGCGUGCGCAGGCGGUUUUGUAAGUCUGAUGUGAAAUCCCCGGGCUCAACCUGGGAAUUGCAUUGGAGACUGCAAGGCUAGAAUCUGGCAGAGGGGGGUAGAAUUCCACGUGUAGCAGUGAAAUGCGUAGAUAUGUGGAGGAACACCGAUGGCGAAGGCAGCCCCCUGGGUCAAGAUUGACGCUCAUGCACGAAAGCGUGGGGAGCAAACAAGGAUUAGAUACCCUGGUAGUCCACGCCCUAAACGAUGUCUACUAGUUGUCGGGUCUUAAUUGACUUGGUAACGCAGCUAACGCGUGAAGUAGACCGCCUGGGGAGUCGGUUGCAAGNUUAAAACGUUAAGAUUAGUUGGCGNGNGAGNGCGACGACGACGACGAGGAGGAGG
RNAcentral lists this ribosomal RNA (617 nucleotides) under uncultured bacterium. RNAcentral describes it as "bacterial SSU rRNA". It matches the Rfam family "Bacterial small subunit ribosomal RNA", at positions 338 to 944 of the family's 1533-position model. The record is from RNAcentral.